CUACGGGAGGCUGCAGUGAGGAAUAUUGCACAAUGGAGGAAACUCUGAUGCAGCAACGCCGCGUGGAGGAUGACGCAUUUCGGUGUGUAAACUCCUUUUAUAUGUCAAGAAAAUGACGGUAGCAUAUGAAUAAGCUCCGGCUAACUCCGUGCCAGCAGCCGCGGUAAUACGGAGGGAGCAAGCGUUACUCGGAAUCACUGGGCGUAAAGGACGCGUAGGCGGGAUAGAAAGUCAGGUGUGAAAUCCUAUGGCUCAACCAUAGAACUGCACUUGAAACUUCUAACCUAGAGUAUGGGAGGGGAAGAUGGAAUUAGUGGUGUAGGGGUAAAAUCCGUAGAUAUCACUAGGAAUACCUAAAGCGAAGGCGAUCUCCUGGAACAUUACUGACGCUAAGGCGUGAAAGCGUGGGGAGCAAACAGGAUUAGAUACCCGUGUAGUC
RNAcentral lists this ribosomal RNA (439 nucleotides) under uncultured bacterium. RNAcentral describes it as "partial 16S ribosomal RNA". It matches the Rfam family "Bacterial small subunit ribosomal RNA", at positions 339 to 795 of the family's 1533-position model. The record is from RNAcentral.